Molecule: small nucleolar RNA, 106 nt
Organism: Eutrema salsugineum
Lineage: Eukaryota; Viridiplantae; Streptophyta; Magnoliopsida; Brassicales; Brassicaceae
Rfam family: Plant small nucleolar RNA R71
About the family: R71 is a member of the C/D box family of snoRNAs containing the C (UGAUGA) and D (CUGA) box motifs.
Source: Rfam
AAGCCGUGGUGUGGGCAUUGGUUAGUGUAGCUUCUAAACCGUUCCCAAGCUUCACUAAAGCUCUCGUUAUUGUGCUGCGUGAAAUUGAGAUCUGAUUCCUGAGCUU